RNAcentral lists this ribosomal RNA (88 nucleotides) under Enterobacter cloacae. The record is from RNAcentral. Lineage: Bacteria; Pseudomonadati; Pseudomonadota; Gammaproteobacteria; Enterobacterales; Enterobacteriaceae.
UCUGGCGGCUUUAGCGCGGUGGUCCCACCUGACCCCAUGCCGAACUCAGAAGUGAAACGCCGUAGCGCCGAUGGUAGUGUGGGGACUC